UACGUAGGGGGCAAGCGUUAUCCGGAUUUACUGGGUGUAAAGGGAGCGUAGACGGCAUGGCAAGCCAGAUGUGAAAGCCCGGGGCCCAACCCCGGGACUGCUUUGGAAACUGCCAUGCUGGAGUGCUGGAGAGGUAAGCGGAAUUCCUAGUGUAGCGGUGAAAUGCGUAGAUAUUCGGAGGAACACCGGUGGCGAAGGCGGCCAACUGGGCUUUAACUGACGCUGAGGCUCGAAAGUGUGGGGAGCAAACAGG
This 253-nucleotide ribosomal RNA is filed under the name uncultured Eubacteriales bacterium. RNAcentral describes it as "uncultured Clostridiales bacterium partial 16S ribosomal RNA". It matches the Rfam family "Bacterial small subunit ribosomal RNA", at positions 524 to 776 of the family's 1533-position model. Lineage: Bacteria; Bacillati; Bacillota; Clostridia; Eubacteriales. The record is from RNAcentral.